RNAcentral lists this ribosomal RNA (436 nucleotides) under uncultured bacterium. Its description in RNAcentral is "bacterial SSU rRNA". It matches the Rfam family "Bacterial small subunit ribosomal RNA", at positions 27 to 507 of the family's 1533-position model. The record is from RNAcentral.
GAACGAACGCUGGCGGCAGGCUUAACACAUGCAAGUCGAACGGUUGUAGCAAUACAGCAGUGGCGCACGGGUGAGUAACGCGUGGAUAUCUGCCUUUUGGUUCGGAAUAACUCCGGGAAACUGGAGCUAAUACCGGAUGGUUCCUGCGGGAUAAAGAUUUAUCGCCAAAAGAUGAGUCCGCGUACGAUUAGCUAGUUGGUGAGGUAAUGGCUCACCAAGGCGACGAUCGUUAGCUGGUCUGAGAGGACGAUCAGCCACACUGGGACUGAGACACGGCCCAGACUCCUACGGGAGGCAGCAGUGGGGAAUAUUGGACAAUGGGGGCAACCCUGAUCCAGCCAUGCCGCGUGAGUGAUGAAGGCCUUCGGGUUGUAAAGCUCUUUUGGCGGGGACGAUGAUGACGGUACCCGCAGAAUAAGCCCCGGCUAACUUCGUG